Molecule: ribosomal RNA, 253 nt
Filed under: uncultured bacterium
Lineage: Bacteria
Description: partial 16S ribosomal RNA
Rfam family: Bacterial small subunit ribosomal RNA
Source: RNAcentral
UACGUAGGGUGCAAGCGUUAAUCGGAAUUACUGGGCGUAAAGCGUGCGCAGGCGGCUUUGCAAGACAGCUGUGAAAUCCCCGGGCUUAACCUGGGAAUGGCAUUGGUGACUGCACGGCUAGAGUGUGUCAGAGGGGGGUAGAAUUCCACGUGUAGCAGUGAAAUGCGUAGAGAUGUGGAGGAAUACCGAUGGCGAAGGCAGCCCCCUGGGAUAACACUGACGCUCAUGCACGAAAGCGUGGGGAGCAAACAGG